This 331-nucleotide unclassified non-coding RNA is filed under the name Hevea brasiliensis (rubber tree). The record is from RNAcentral. Lineage: Eukaryota; Viridiplantae; Streptophyta; Magnoliopsida; Malpighiales; Euphorbiaceae.
UCCACAGAAGUGAUCUUCACAUUAAUUUGGAAAAAUUAGUCUUUCCUUGUCAGCGUCAAGUACGCACAAGGUCAAGCUUGCUUUUUUGUUUAUUGUAAGAUUACCUAAUUACUUACCUAACCAAAUCAUAAACAAAUUAAAUAUUCAUUAAAAUACAAUCUUUUUUCUUGUCAUUAACAAGUUCAAUGAAAAACAAAAUCAUCUCUCGAAGUAAUCCCUUCAGGACACAGUAGAAUUUCUUGGAACCACAGUUUAUAGGAGUUUGACACCAGCUCCUUUCACAGAAUCCAUCACAGCUUUCACCUUUCCAUGAUACUUCUGUUCUCUUUUC